GAUGAAGAACGUAGCGAAAUGCGAUAAGUAAUGUGAAUUGCAGAAUUCAGUGAAUCAUCGAAUCUUUGAACGCACAUUGCGCCCGCCAGCAUUCUGGCGGGCAUGCCUGUUCGAGCGUCAUUUCAACCCUCGAGCCCCCCCGGGGGCCUCGGUGUUGGGGGACGGCACACCAGCCGCCCCCGAAAUGCAGUGGCGACCUCGCCGCAGCCUCCCCUGCGUAGUAGCACACACCUCGCACCGGAGCGCGGAGACGGUCACGCCGUAAAACGCCCAACUUCUUAGAGUUGACCUCGGAUCAGGUAGGAAUACCCGCUGAACUUAAGCAUACAAUAAGCGGAGGA
Molecule: unclassified non-coding RNA, 341 nt
Filed under: soil metagenome
Description: partial contains 5.8S ribosomal RNA, internal transcribed spacer 2, and large subunit ribosomal RNA
Rfam family: 5.8S ribosomal RNA (bases 1-120)
Source: RNAcentral